AAGACUAUAUUUUCAGGGAUCAUUUCUACAGUUCAUUACUGGAGAAGUUUCUCUGAAGGAGCAGAGCACCAGAAACCACGAGGAGGAGAUAUCUUCUCUCUUGAGCAUGAAGUCACUUUCAAGGCUGCUUCCCUGCAGCUGUCUUUUGCCACUGGUGAGGGGGUCUUUCCAUCUGAGAGAGUACGAGGGAAAAAAUACGGUCUCAGGU
RNAcentral lists this small nucleolar RNA (208 nucleotides) under Carlito syrichta (Philippine tarsier). Its description in RNAcentral is "Small nucleolar RNA U3 (ENSTSYG00000021820.2)". It matches the Rfam family "Small nucleolar RNA U3". From Rfam's summary of the family: Small nucleolar RNAs (snoRNAs) are involved in the processing and modification of rRNA in the nucleolus. There are two main classes of snoRNAs: the box C/D class, and the box H/ACA class. Lineage: Eukaryota; Metazoa; Chordata; Mammalia; Primates; Tarsiidae. The record is from RNAcentral.